CUCGCCAGGGUACAACGAGCUAAAGCUUAAAACCCAAAGGACUUGGCGAUGCUUUAAACCCCCCUAGAGGAGCCUGUUCUAUAAUCGAUGAUCCCCGUUUAACCUCACCCUCUUUUGUCCUCCCCGCCUAUAUACCGCCGUCGUCAGCCUACCCUGUGAAGGAUAAAAAGUAAGCUUAAUUGGUUUAGCCCAAAAAGUCAGGUCAAGGUGUAGCGUAUGAGAGGGAAAGAAAUGGGCUACAUUUACUGCCACAGUAAAAUUAACGAAUGAUGAACUGAAAUAUUUUAUCGGAAGGUGGAUUUAGUAGUAAGGAAAGAAUAGAGAGCUCUCCUGAAAAUGGCCCUGAAGCACGUACACAUCGCCCGUCACCCUCCCCACGGCCAAUAUAAAUAUGAUUAAUAAACUAAAGUUCGUCCACAAGGGGAGGCAAGUCGUAACACAGUAAGUGUACUGGAAAGUGCCCUUGGAUCACU
This 473-nucleotide ribosomal RNA is filed under the name Feia nympha. RNAcentral's name for it is "partial 12S ribosomal RNA". It matches the Rfam family "Bacterial small subunit ribosomal RNA", at positions 868 to 1533 of the family's 1533-position model. Lineage: Eukaryota; Metazoa; Chordata; Actinopteri; Gobiiformes; Gobiidae. The record is from RNAcentral.